RNAcentral lists this small nuclear RNA (107 nucleotides) under Castor canadensis (American beaver). Lineage: Eukaryota; Metazoa; Chordata; Mammalia; Rodentia; Castoridae. The record is from RNAcentral.
GUGCUCACUUCGGCAGCACAUACACUAAAAUCAGAACGAUACAGAGAACAGUAACAUGGCCCCUGAGCAAGGAUAACAUGUAAAUUCAUGAAGCAUUACAUAUUAGA